Long non-coding RNA from Ochotona curzoniae (black-lipped pika), 865 nucleotides. RefSeq lists it as uncharacterized. The record is from RefSeq and is a predicted model, not a curated record. The transcript has 3 exons. Lineage: Eukaryota; Metazoa; Chordata; Mammalia; Lagomorpha; Ochotonidae.
CCCACAUGGAUUGCAGGGACCUAAGCACUUGGGUGCAUAUUCGUAGAAAGCUGGAUUAGAAGUGGAGUAACUAGGACUCAAAACAGGUACUCCAAUAGCAGAUGCAAGCAUGACUAACCAUGAUUUAACCAUUAUACCACCUGCUGGUCCCUUAACUAUGGCUUAAGUGUACACAUUCAUUUCCUCUUUUUCUCUCUUCUAGUGUCUCUAAGUAUAUCACCAUUUACUUCUGAACAUGGUGGAAAUAUUCAGCCAUGUGUAAUAGACUCUGCUAUUCAUUUUAUUGUAGCCUGAAAUUCUAGAGAAUUCUUCUAGACCAUUAUUUAACAUCAUUGUAAUAUAAGGACUCAUCCAAAGAGGAAUGGAGUGCUGAAGGAACAUAAGGAUGCUCCAAGGACCAAAUAGGCAAGGACGAUUUCUAAGAUUUAUCUCAUUUUUUAACAUUUUGAAGAUACAGCAAAGGGAAGAUGAGACACAAGACACUGACUUCAUUUCUUCGUUUGGCAAAUUGCUCUCUUCCUGCUCUGUUCCAGGUACUGUGUUUGGGGCUGAGGACACAAAGGUACAAGGACACAUACUCCCUGCACUUGGAGACCCCAAGUCCUAGUGGAGGAUCAUGCUGCAAGGAGUCAGCUGAGGAAUUCUCCAUGCUCUAGGAGUUUCGGUGACUGUUUGGUCUUACCAGUCUAGAACACUACUUUACUGGUCCAUAUAUGGACUCCCUUUCCUGGCCGACAACUGAAGGUUCCCCAAGGCAGUGGAAACUUAAGAAAAGUUUUCAUCAGCAGAGUGAAUGAGAAGAAUGGACCUGGGGCUAGAGACCCCAAGCCUUGCGGUGGGGAUCCAGACUGCUUGGGACACAGAC